CAGCUGCUUGCACUCACACAAACACUCUUAUCAGCACUGAUAAUAACAGACACGCACCCAAGUUCUCUUUAUUUCCACGUCCAUCGUCAACAUGGCUGCAAAACUUCUUUUUCUGGGACUCCUGGUUGUUGCUGUGUUUGCAGAUCCUCAGGAUCAGUCUGGAUUCCCAAAACAGGUGAGACAUUGUUUAACAGAAGUCCUUCCUGUUGCUUUAAUUAUUUAAAUUAUUAAUCAUAGGCCAGAAUGAUAUAAUGUUGCAAGUCCUCGUCUAAUCACAAUUUAUUCACAAUAAAAAAAACGAGCAUUCAUAGAACAGUGUUGGUGAAUACUGCAAACACAAUAGCAGCAAGAGAAAAUUAUUGUUGAGUUGAUAACAAAUCACAAUCAAAAGAAGUGAGUAAAGUUUGUAAAUAUUUAUUUACAGACUUGUACUUCUCAUGAUCAUACAGACAACAUCGGUCACCACAGAAU
Thalassophryne amazonica is the source of this 471-nucleotide long non-coding RNA. RefSeq lists it as uncharacterized. The transcript is spliced from 2 exons. NCBI's taxonomy places the organism in Eukaryota, Metazoa, Chordata, Actinopteri, Batrachoidiformes, Batrachoididae. The record is from RefSeq and is a predicted model, not a curated record.